CCUGUGGGGGCUGGAAAGAGCUCCGGAACACCUCAAAGACCAAAGCCAAGAGAGCGAGCCAAUCUGGAGAUGCUGUGAUUCUCACAAGUGUGGUCGGGAAGGGCACCUGCCUUCCCCUCAGAGCCAGCUAAUAGAAACCCAGAGAUGUGGCAGAGCCGGAGAUGUGGCAGAGAAAGGCCAAAUGGGUCUGCGGCAGGGGCGAGAAGCAGCAUUCCCUCAGGAGACCACUCACAACCGAACAAGCACUGGUUGCCAAGUCCAAGUUGGCAUCUCUGUCCUCUGUUAUCAUCAGCACUUGUUUGUAGUAGGAGGCUAGAGGCCUGCCACAUCCUCCCCUGCAGAGCUCAGCCUUGCUUCCCACCUACUGCUGUCUACCCAACAUGGGCGGACAGACCUGGUGACUUCUGUGUUAGUCUGCAGCUGGUUCUGGUACAGAGCUGGCUAGGAGCCUUGUCUUCCCUUUCCUCCCUGGCUUUCCUGCCACUCCUUCCGUUCUUUGACCCUGAACUUCCUGGUGUAUUCUCCAACGUUCUUGCAUUACUCUGUGGUUUAUGUCUUUCCCAUAUCCUUUACCCAGGAGGAGCAAAGUGGCACUGAGAUCUGCUUGUUUCUGGAGUGGGGUGAGUGGCUUAGGAGAGACCCAGACAUGUCCAAAGGCCUAUGACCUGUUGGGGCCAUUCACAUGAAGACCGCAUCUCAGGGAUCGCAAGUGACCGACCUGCAAGAGUGUCCCUCACAGCUAACCUGAUGGCUGAAUUUUGGUAACAGACACAAGUCACAUCUCUCUGGUCUGAAGGGCUGUUCUAGUUUGCUUUUCUGUUGCUAUGGUAAACACUAUGACCAAAGGCAACUUGUGGAGAAAAGCCCAUCCCCGUAUAUUUCUAGGUCACAAUCCAUUACCAAGGGAAGUCGGGGAGGAACCAGGGAGGAAUGCUGCUUGCUGGACUCAGUUUUUUUGUUUUGUUUUAUGCUCAGCUAGCUGAUACAGCUCAGGCCCGCCACCUGGGCCCUCCCACAUCAGUGGUCAAUCAGGAUAAUCUCUCACAGAUAUGACUGACACAGGCCAAUCUGAUCUAAGCAAUUCCUUCUCCCCAGGUGACUCCAAAUUAUGUUUCGUUAACAAGAAAAACUAACUAGUAUGAGGCUCAACCUCUCCAUGACUCAGUUUUCUUUCUUUAAAAAUUAAAGAAAUUAUUUUGUGUGUGUGGGUGUUUUGCUUGCAUGCAUGCCUGGUGCCCACAGAGGCCAGAAGAGGGUGUCAGAUCCUCUGAAAAUGGAGUUACAGACUAGGAAUUAAACUCAGCUCUUCUGGAAGAACAGCCGGGGCACUUAACUGCCGAGGCAUUUCUGCAGCCCCGACUCGGUUUUCUUAAGUGUCAAAUGAGAACAAACUCUUAAGGCUGUUAGGAGCAUGAAGUGAAGGGGUGCAGAGACCCGACUUGGGGUCUGUCUAAGCUGCUGUGGCAGCCAGUUCUCCUACAGAGUAGGAAGCCACACCCCACUGUUCGCUCACUCUCUGUAAGCAACCCACUCCCAGGGGCUUUGCUGUUCCUUCAGCUGCAGGGCUGAGGAGCAGCCUCUGCCUGCCCUUGCCAGUGUGCGUGGAACAGCUGAGCUGUGCAGGUAUCACAUCAUCCUGCCCCACCCCAGCACUCUCCACCUCUGGGUGCUUCUCGGCUGGUGAGCUUUCGCCUCACCCACCUGGAUAAGAAAGCAUCUCUCAGGCCUUCUGAGGGGUUUUGCUCCUCCACUGUUAUUUCUGUCUCACAGGCUCCUCCAGAUUCUGUUCCCCAGCACAGAACACACACCUCUGACUGCUAGCCAUUGGCCCUGUAGCUUUGCAUCUAGCUCAAACAUCAGUUCUUUGCACAGAGCUCUGUCUAAAACCUGCUGGUCUUGCCUUCCUGUCCAUCACCUCUUCCAACAAAUCCCUCCUAUUACAAGCACACUAACCUUCUCUGUAGGAUGGUGUAAGAGCACCUACCUCCGGGGUGUGCUUAAUGUUAAGUAAUAUGGAACCUAGAAUAAAGCAAUCCAUCAGUUGUUA
Molecule: long non-coding RNA, 2047 nt
Organism: Peromyscus eremicus (cactus mouse)
Lineage: Eukaryota; Metazoa; Chordata; Mammalia; Rodentia; Cricetidae
Exons: 2
Source: RefSeq, a predicted model, not a curated record